UUGUUUUCUAUAUCAUUUCUAUAUCAAUUUUAUUGUGACCUUUGGGAUUUUCGUUCUCAUCCAUAGGAAGCUCUACCUAGCUCGCAGCGCAAAGCGGCGGAAGAAGCUUCUUCUCCGAUCAUACACAUACCGCCGUGGAUAACUAUAACACCCUCGCAAUCUCGCUCUUCCCUUCUUGGGUCGUUCUCUCCAAUUGCACUCUCUGAUCAGAAUUGUCUCUCCGAUUCACGGUGGUAUCGUAAUCGCAGCAACAUCAGAGAAAUAGUGGCGUUGAAGGUCUAAAUCCUAGCAUUUGACAAAGAUUGAAGACCGCGGUUGAGGCGUAACGGCGAGGAAGAGGCUCUGAGAAAGAGUUUGAAGACUAUCGGUGGUGAGGAAUCGAUCGAUAAGUGUGAGGAUCGAAGAAGCGUUGAAGGCGGUGAUCAGGUUUGUGAAUUCGGAGAAUGAGAGGAUGAUGAGAGAUGCAUCCAGAAGAUUGAAGAUUAUGCCGAGAAGAAGAUGAUUGAAGAAUGAAUGAAGAAUGUGUGAAGGUUCAUAGACUGAAGAAGAUGGAUGAAGGUGGGAGAGGAAUGAAGUAUCUGAGUGAGGUGGUGCCGAGUGAAAAUGUUUGAAGAGGAGGGAGAUCUGAAUUUAUAGAAGUUGUGAAGAUGAUGAAAAAUGGUGGAGAGUGGAAGCUUGAAGAAAGUGAAAAUGGAUUUUUUAAAACUUAAGAAUAAUCAGUGCUCUGUUAUAUAUGGAUUCACAUGGUGUGUUUGGCAUAUGUAUGCUGCCACUGGUCUUCUUUUCAAGAGGUUUGACAGUGACUUGAUGCUUGCUUGCAGAUGGAACGAGAUGAUAAGCAUGGUUGCAAUUCGGAGCUCCGUGGUGUGCCUCAGAUUGGACUCAGUGCAGGGUCGGUUUUCUAUUGGAGCUUUGCCUUGAACUGAUCUUGGUUGGUUAUUUUUCUGGACUGGAUUAUUAGUUAUUGAAAUGAGGUUUGAAUGCAGGUCCAGACACAAGCUUAAGGUGGGUACACGAUUCUUUGGAUUGAAGUUAGUUGCAAUGUUUUGUAAUGGAACAAUGGCCUUGCUUUGGCUUGAAUCAUGAAGGGAUUUGGCUCAAUUUAGACGCGGAUGACCUCGUACAAAGUAAGCAACAUGGUGCCCCGAGUCAUGGUGAGCGAAGCAAAGAUAAAGACAAAAUGGGCUGGCAAUAAAAGGAGAUAGGUUUAGAAGUCAGCAAUUCUAGUCUUAGGGUCAAUGGUCAACUGUUGACCAAAGGUCAAUUAUUGACCAAAAAGUCAACUAUGCCAAAUUUUGUAGAUUUUUCUGUACUCUCCUUUUUGUAACAUGUAACUUGUAUUUGAAACAAUGCACUUGAAUGAGCUUGUGACUUGGAAUAAUCAUGAAUGAAUGUUUCAAUAUGACCUUUGAUCCAAUCUUGAAUAAUAAGGGCAAUCUUACAAUCUCAGUGAAAUCUUGACUUCAUUCUAAAUCCUUAAAUUAAAUCCCAGAGCGAAUGACUCAUACCACAAGUGAUAACCUGACC
This is a long non-coding RNA of Vicia villosa (hairy vetch), 1527 nucleotides long. RefSeq lists it as uncharacterized. The record is from RefSeq and is a predicted model, not a curated record. NCBI's taxonomy places the organism in Eukaryota, Viridiplantae, Streptophyta, Magnoliopsida, Fabales, Fabaceae. The transcript is spliced from 7 exons.